Diospyros lotus (date-plum) is the source of this 6459-nucleotide RNA transcript. RefSeq lists it as uncharacterized. NCBI's taxonomy places the organism in Eukaryota, Viridiplantae, Streptophyta, Magnoliopsida, Ericales, Ebenaceae. The record is from RefSeq and is a predicted model, not a curated record. The transcript has 20 exons.
UCUACGCUGCCACGUCAUCACACCUCGUCCAGCCACGUUUCUCCGGUGCACUUUCUGGAAGUCCGUCGGCGGCACUAUAAAUACCGAUGAUCUCAACCUUCCCCACGUCUCUGUUCCGAAGCUCAGAAUUGCGCUGCAAAAAGGAGGAAGGAGUGAGGAAUGAGGAGAGUCUGUUCAAUUUCUUCGAUCUUCUCGCUAGGGUUCGCUCGCCGGUCCUCUGCAUUUCGGAGCAUUGUGCUUCGCUUUUACUCCGAUCAUCAACCUCCUCGCGCUUCUCACUCCCGGUGUCCAGGUCCAUUUACGCAGUAUAGGAAUCUUGUUGAGCAAGGAAAGCUUCGCCAUGAUCCUUAUCAGGAAAAGGUGGCUUCAGAGCUGGAAAAUUUGCUUGGGAGAUUGGAGCAACAUGAGAAAGAUAUGGAAGAAUAUUAUGUAGAACUAGCAACAUGGGAGGAGAACAGGGAGAAAGAACGCCGCAGGCUUUUAAUGGAAGAAGCUGAGGUCAAACAGCAGGCAGGUAUAUGGACAUCAGUAAACAAGCAUCGAAAUAGACUUCUUCAAAGAUUAAUGUCCUGGAGGACACCUAAACAUAUAGAACCUGGAGUUGGAAAAUGGGUUUCGUAUCUUAAUCGGGAGAAGAAAUUGGAUUCACGCGUUGGUCGCCGUCCAACUAUUCCUCCAGCCCCAAAAGGACUGUAUCUGUAUGGAAAUGUAGGAAGUGGGAAGACAAUGCUUAUGGACAUGUUUUACAGUGCCACUCAAGGAAUUGUUAAACAUCGAAGAAGGUUUCACUUCCACAAGGCUAUGCUUGAAAUACAUGAGCACAUGCAUAACAUAUGGAAGAAACAACAGGAGGAUAAAUCUUUGCAGUCUGGUAUUUCUAGUUGGAUCAUGAAUCUUCCUUUUGAUAUUAAUGUUAAAGAAUGGAUAGCUGCUGAAGAAAGAUACAAGCAAGAAGUACAGAUGAAAAACAUACUCCCUGCUGUAGCAGAUAAGUUUCUUCUUGAUGAGCAAGCAGAUAAAAAAGGUGCUAGAAUCCUAUGCUUUGAUGAGAUACAGACUGUCGAUGUGUUCGCUAUUGUGGCCUUAUCUGGAAUUCUGAGCAGAUUGUUGACCACAGGAACUGUUCUUGUGGCCACCAGUAACCGAGCUCCAAAGGACUUGAAUCAGGAUGGGAUGCAGCGGGAGAUCUUUCUCAAGCUUGUUACCAAAUUGGAUAAGCACUGUGAGAAUGUCCUGAUAGGAAGUGAGAUUGAUUAUCGUCGUUUUAUAGCACAAAGAUCAAUAGACAGAGUUCACUACUUCUGGCCUCUGGACAGCGUUGUGAUUAAGGAGUUUGAGGAUGUGUGGAAUGAGGUUACAAGACAAUCUGGUGAAAAGAUAACCUCUGAAACUAUCCCUGUCAUGUUUGGGAGAACAUUGGAAGUUCCUCAAAGCUGCAAUGGGGUGGCACGGUUUACAUUUGACUAUUUAUGUGGUCGACCGGUUGGGGCUGCAGACUACAUUGCAAUAGCUAACAACUACCAUACGGUUUUUAUCUCUGAUAUUCCUUUAAUGAGCAUGCGUAUUCGUGACAAGGCCCGGAGAUUUAUUACUCUCAUUGAUGAGCUGUACAAUCAUCAUUGUGCACUUUUUUGUACUGCAGCCACUUCUAUUGAUGACCUAUUUCAGGGAACUGAAGAGGGAGCACUUUUUGAUUUGGAGAGUUUCCAAUUUGAAACAGAGAUAGAAGGUGGAAAACUCCGUCGUGAUGUUUUAGCUGGGGGAGAUGUGAGUUCAGGAGGUGCACCUGCUGGUAUUAUAUCUAUGCUAUCAGGUCAUGAAGAGAUGUUUGCCUUCCGUCGAGCUACAGUAAAAUAACUGAACAUAUUGAUAUUGAUCUCGCCAUUGGAGUUUCUUGAGAUGGCACUCAGAACUUUGUUGGAAAGAAGCAGACCGUGGACUGCUUCAACGAAGUCAACAAUUUGUGAAACAUCAAUCCAUCAGGCCACUAAUGCAUGGUGUGCUGUAUCUUCAACCACUGCAGUGUUGACAGCAACCUUUCCACCUCCAGUAGCUUUAGCUGCUAUAAGCACUGCACCUUGUUGCUUCAUCAAGACUAUAAACAGAAGCAAACAUGAUCAAGAUUUUGUCAGCAAUUAUUCUGGCAAGGUUUUGUGCACAAUACCAACUUGUUAUGUGGCUAGAAAACAUGGGUCUCUCUCUCUCUCUCAAUUGGCACAUGCAACUGCCAUGAGUUCUUAACCUGUUUCAUUCUCUCCCGUGUUAUGUCAUUGGACCCUUUGUGUGCUUCACUGAUUGAAUCCUGCCAAAAGAAGUCUUCGGAGGCUCAGGCCAACUAGAAGAGGUCCGCACACCGAAGUUCUACUUUUCAUUUCUGGUCUUGCAUUGCGGGGGCAUCAGAUUUCUUUAAGAAAGCUUCCGUUGAAAGUUUAUGAUGCUGGAUGAGGCUUUGUAGAUGUGAGGAAUGUGCCCAUUUCAACGUGUUCCAAAAAUUGACUACAUCUGAAUAGAUUACAUCAUGUGCUUUGGGUGUGCAACUAUAUCUCUUUCUCCUUCACAUUCCUCAAAAAGCAGGGGCUGAAAGGUGGCCAAAGGAGGUCUUCCACUAAAGUACUACGGUGGUGCACUAUAAACCCUUUUCUGUCUAGUUUUCUAUAGUGAAAAUGAUUUCCAAUAAUUCAUCUGAUAAUUGGGUUUAUGAUAGUUUAUUUGGCUGAAGCAAAUAUAUAUUUCUCCCAAGAUAACCUGGGAAACGGUCAUUUGUUGAACGGCCACCUUUGAGACAUCCAUCUUUAAUGUCACUAAGAACAUGAUAAUGAGCAAUAACCGAAGACUUAUCUCAAUGCUAUGUGACUCAGUAAGUACAAACUAUGUGCUCCCAUUGUUGCUUUUGCGGCUGUUGAACUUAUCUUCUAGGAGGAACUUUUAGUGGUUGUUUAGUUGUGGAAAAUGUUUUUUGAUUUUUUAUCUCUAAUUGUUUGCAAAAUCUCUAGUUUUGAUUUCACAGAAAAUUUGAACAACAUGCUCAAAGACGUUUGUAAAAUUAAUGCCAAUCUAUAAAAUUGGAAUAUAUGGUCGAGAGGGAGAGAAGUUUUUUCUUUUUUUUGGUGUAACUUGGUGUAAGAGAAUGAGAUAGAGAUGAUUUGGGAAAAAAUUUGUGAAGAGCCUUUAUUGCUGUUCAGUUGUGGAAAACUGCCCUAGUUUUUCAGAAAAUUACUCUAUGAAAAAUGGAAAAUUAAAAACUUUGUUCAAAUACGAAAAUGGACAAUGGAGAUUUGGAAAAUGCAAUUUUCCAAAAUUGAACUAAACUGGUGUUGUUGCUGGAAAUAUAACAAUUAAAAUUUAUAAAGCAGGAAGUCCAAGCUGAGGUAGAGUCAGGCAAGGAACUUGAUCUGCACGGUGGGAGGAAGUGGCCAGCUACUUGUCUGAGGGAGAGUUCACGCUGUUGUCUGGGGGAUCUCGUGCCUCUAUCCAGGGGAGAGAUCACUUGGCCUGAGUCUCUCGAAUAAACAGGUGUUGGACUUGAACAAGCAGCAUGAGACUAAAGUGGGAGAGUGAAAGGUGACUGCCUGGGAGAAGCUCCGCUGUCUGGGAGAGUGUUGUUGCAAGGUAGUACACAGCCAGAAGGCACGUGAGGAUUCCUCCUACGUGUGCCCUUCGAUGGUUAAGUCAGAAAAAGUCAUGUUGGUGCCAUGAACAAGUAGGUAAAAGCUGUCUGGGAGGAGUAUAGGUCGUUCCUUCGGAAGGAUAAGCAGGUUAAAUAUGCUUUAGGUGCGAGAGAAUAUGAAAGGUCAAAAAAAUAUCCUUAAAACGAUGAGUUGGGGGGUAUUUAUACCCCCCUAACUAUUGGUGGUGGGACAUGUGUCAUGCAUGCACAAGGGUUGCAAGGUGUUUUCCUAAGUUAGGCACGGAUUAGGUCUUGUGAAAAACCUCCCGGAGGAGUAGUCCUCCAAGAGAAAGAAUGCCUUGUGAGGCGAGCUGUCACUUCAUGGAGCAAUGCAAGGUAAUGAGUUGUCCGGGAGAAAGUCUCCCUUGUUGUUCUAGAGUGGCUCGACUAGGUGUACUGUUUUGAUACCAGAGUUUAUGCUUAGUAUUUGUUCGGGGGAACAUUAUACAUCCGGGAGAACAUCUUCUUCUUGGAGGAUGUUCCUCUCUGAGAGAAUUCUUCAUUGAUGUUCUCCGAGAGAACUUCUCUCAGUAGAAAGGCACUUUCUUUGGGAAAGCGACACUUGUCCCUCGAAGGUUAGGUUACAACAAUUGGGAAAACUACUAAAAUGAGUUUUCUAAGAUUUCCUUGUUAAUUUGGAGAUUUGGAACGUGCAGUUUUCCAAAAAGAAAAUCACAUAUCAUCUUCAUCUCAUUCUCUAAUCAAGUUACAUAAAAAGAGAAAUUAAAACAUGUCUCUUUUUUUUAACAUAUAUUCAAAUUUUCUAGCUUGGAAAUUUAUUUCUUUAUUUCUAACAUUUGUACGUGUUCUUUAAAGUUUCUAUAGAAAAUGAAAACUAGAGAUUUUAUAAAAAAAUGGUGUUAGAAAAGUGGAAAUCAUUUUCCACAAUUAAACAGCCUUUUCUUUUCUGAAUCUCCAACUUAGCAAGGAAAAUUUGGAAAACUCAUUUUAGGAAUUUAAAAAAUGAUUAUAGCUUGUCAAUACUUUUAGACCCUGUGCCUUGCAAAACUCUAAAAAACAUCUUACUGUCUAAUGUAGAUUACUAUUAGUGCUCCUGCUUUCUUCACAUCUGUUACAGCUCAAGGGGGAUCCAAGAGAAAUAUUCUCAUAUUUGUUUGUCAAUGUCUGAGUUAAGAUUAUGCCACUAUAAAAUUGUGCCCGAAUGAAUGGAUAAAUCAUUCUAGAUGCCACUUGAUCAAGGAUAAAUCAUUCUAGAUGCUUAUUUGAUGUGACAAUACAGCUAGUAGGUUUUUUUUUUUUUUUUUUUUAUCAAUAUGGUGAUUUUUGAGUAGACCCUAACCACUUGAUCAAUAUGGUGAUUUUUUUUAUCACUAAAAAAAAAAAAAAUUGCUGACACAAGGGGCACUAACGAGCUACCAAGAGACUUGGAAUACCCACUUAGGGCCAAUAGUGUCUGCACCCGUUGACCCCACUUAGGGACAACUCACUAGUCAUUUAAGCACGUUUGGUAAAAUCUCUACUAAGGAUUUCUUUAGUAGCAUUAUGGGCCCCCUCCCAUUAAACUCGUGAUCCGUAUAAUUGAGGAGCCAACUAGGCACAAGGGGCAGAGGCAGGCUGCCACUCAAACUUGAAACCUUUCCCCAGGGAUGUCAACACCCUUGCCACUUGGUCUACUACCCUGUAGCUGAUAUGGUGACUUUAUGUGGGUAGUCCCAUGGCAGGAAUUAAUGUUCAAGUGCUUUAAUUGGGAAAUUUUCCCUAGCCAUGAGCAUGAAACAACUUUUUCAGUUAGAUGCACACCUGUGUAAGAUUAUGGAUUAAAUCCUUGGAUUCUUCUUUGAUUUGAGACCAUUAAAAGUUUGUUUCAUUAAUGUGUUCAGCUCUCUGUUUCAUUAAGAGAUUUCAAGUUAAAUCAUUCAUCAGCCCCCACCCCAACACCUUCCCCAUGUUUAGGCUUCCGAUCUUCCUCCAAGUGGUAGCUCCAUAGCUUCUUUUCCAUCAACCCCACAUGAUACCAAACAAAAUGCCCUUGAAAGUUCGGUUUCUUCCAUGGUGGUGGGUGACAAUUGUUGACUUCCCCAUCCAUUAAAUGCUUCAAAGUCACAUCUAGCUGAAGCAGCUACAAUUUUUUUUUUCUCCUAUGAGAAUUUUUUGAGUGUUAAUUAAGUAAACCCGUCAGCUACGUACAACACCUACAAAUCAUACGCACGAGUUAAAUACACAAAAACUUGUGUGUAGGCUAGUCUUCAUAGAAGUUUAAACGUCAAUAACAAAAGAAACUACUAUAACUUCUUACUGCCAAGUCAACCGAGGUCUUUUCUUUCAGUCAUUGGUUCCUUUUCACAAAAUUUUUAACCCUCAUUGCUGGCAUUGGAUUAUCCAUCACUGAUGGGCCUACAUGGCAUCUAGAUGGGUAUUUUUUGCUCUUUUUUUGUGUUUUAUUUUGUACUAUACCAGCAAAAUUUGAUUAGCUGGCAUUGUUUGGUGAGGGGAAGCAGAUAAGAGUAAAGUUGGAGGAAAUUUUCAUGGCCGAACAUCUAUGAGGUAAUGACAAAGGCCUAACUUUCAGAGAGGAACAUGGAAGGCAUGCUUCUUGUGGUAGGUGGCACCUACUAGAUCAAAUAUGCAUGAAGAUUCAUGCUCUCUCCCCUUUCCGUCAAAGAUAGAUCUGCCUUGUAUAAAUUAUUUGUUUAUGAUACAGUUAACAAGAAUUUAUCACCAAAACCUAGCGAACAGCCGAAGAUUCCCAUCCCAGCCUCGCUGUUUGCAGGAGCUUGUGCCGGAGUUAGCUCUACUCUGGUUACAUAUCCUCUUGAGUUACUCAAAACACG